AACGAACGCUGGCGGCAUGCCUAACACAUGCAAGUCGAACGGGAUCCGGACUUCGGUCCGGUGAGAGUGGCGGACGGGUGAGUAACACGUGGGAACCUGCCUUUUGGUUCGGGAUAACCGCGGGAAACUGCGGCUAAUACCGGAUGCUCCCGAGAGGGAAAAGAUUUAUCGCCAGAAGAGGGGCCCGCGUCCGAUUAGGUAGUUGGUGGGGUAAUGGCCUACCAAGCCGACGAUCGGUAGCUGGUCGUGAGAGGAUGAUCAGCCACCACUGGGACGUGAGAUACGGCCC
Molecule: ribosomal RNA, 289 nt
Filed under: uncultured bacterium
Lineage: Bacteria
Description: partial 16S ribosomal RNA
Rfam family: Bacterial small subunit ribosomal RNA
Source: RNAcentral